CGAAAGCCUGACGGAGCAACGCCGCGUGAGGGAUGAAGGCCUCUGGGCUGUAAACCUCUUUUAUCAAGGAAGAAGAUCUGACGGUACUUGAUGAAUAAGCCACGGCUAAUUCCGUGCCAGCAGCCGCGGUAAUACGGGAGUGGCAAGCGUUAUCCGGAAUUAUUGGGCGUAAAGCGUCCGCAGGCGGCCUCGUAAGUCUGUUGUCAAAGCGUGGAGCUUAACUCCAUUUCGGCAAUGGAAACUGUGAGGCUUGAGUGUGGUAGGGGCAGAGGGAAUUCCCGGUGUAGCGGUGAAAUGCGUAGAUAUCGGGAAGAACACCAGUG
This 323-nucleotide ribosomal RNA is filed under the name uncultured bacterium. RNAcentral's name for it is "bacterial SSU rRNA". It matches the Rfam family "Bacterial small subunit ribosomal RNA", at positions 376 to 714 of the family's 1533-position model. The record is from RNAcentral.